CUCCAUGAUAAACAGAGGCAUAGUACUCUGUUUAAAUAGAUUACAAAAAUAACUAAAUAGCUAGAAGUACGACACAAUAUAUUGUUAGACUACCAUAUGUAACAGAACGUAUAACUCGUAGAACUCUAAAUUACUGAAAAUCAGCAGAAUCAAUUACCAACCUUAUCUCUCCAGGCUCAAGUCCUGUAGUCAGCCUUAUUACUCCAAGGGGUGAACACAUCCUUAUCACUCCCUUGGUCAAUAUCCCCCCUCAAACUAUGCCGAGGUUGGAGACAUAGUUUGUGUCGAAAGAACGCAAGACGAGCCUUAGGAACUGAUUUAGUGAAUACAUCAGCUAGCUGACAAGUGGAAGGAAUAUGUUGAGUAAUAAGAGCCCCUUGAGCUACCCGCUCUCUUACAUAGUGGUAAUCCAACGCAAUAUGUUUACUUCGAGCGUGAAAUACUGGAUUGACUGUGAGGAAUAGAGCACUGACAUUGUCUGCAAAAAGUUUCGGUGGGUGUGGAGGAAAAAUCCGAAGAUCAGAUAGAAUAUAUCCAAGCCAUGUAAGCUCAGCUGCUGUAUGAGCCAUGGCACGGUACUCAGCCUCUGUACUGGACCGAGCAACUGUGGACUGCUUCUUCACACACCAGGAAAUGAUAUUCGAGCCUAGGAACGUGCAAUAGCCUAUAGUUGACCGUCGCGUCGUCGGACAGCCUGCCCAAUCUGCAUCAGAAAAGGCAGAAAGAGCAAGUGUAGUAUUGGAACGAAGAUUGAGACCAUAAUGUAUCGUGCCCUUUAAAUAAUGCAAGAUGCGACGAACAUAUUUCAGAUGAGCAUGAGUAGGUGAAUGCAUGAAUUGGGACAUAAAAUUUACACUAAAAGACAAGUCAGGUCUGGUUAAAGUGAGGUAUUGCAAGGACCCGACAAUGCCUCGAAAAGAUGUUGGAUCGGAAAGUGGUUCAGAAUCAAUUGGCAGAUUGUGUUUAAGGUCUAAUGGAGUGGGCAUUGGCUGACAAUCAACCAUCUGGGCACGCUCCAAAAUGGAGUAGGCAUAAUGCGUCUGUGAUAAAUGAAGGCCAGUGGCUGUGGUAUCCACUUUAACACCCAAGAAAUGAUGGAUUGGUCCCAAGUCUUUCAUGGAGAAUUCUGCGUGUAACACCUGAAUAAAAUCAUCAACAAGAGCUACAGACGAACCCGUGAGUAGCAUAUCGUCAACAUAAACCAAAAGCACUAAUAUCUCAUUAGAACAAUAAAAAACAAAUAAUGAAGGAUCCGCCAAGCUGCAAAAGAAACCAUAAGCAAUGAGAAACUUACUUAACCGGUCAAACCAGGCACGAGGAGCCUGCUUGAGUCCAUAGAGAGCUCGUUUUAACUUACACACAUGCGUUGGCUUGUUCGGAUUUUUCAUCCCUGGUGGUUGCUCCAUGAACAAAUCCUCAGUAACAUAACCAUGCAAAAAAGCAUUUGUAACAUCUAACUGCCUUAUUGGCCAUUUUUUAACUAAAGCAACAGUUAAAACAGUACGAAUCGUGCCAGGUUUGAUAACGGGUGAAUAAGUUUCAGUGUAGUCGACGCCAUCUAGUUGAUGGAAUCCUUUGGCUACUAACCGAGCCUUUAGUCGGUCUAACGUGCCAUCUGGUUUAAUUUUGGCUUUAAACACCCAUUUACAACCUAUUAUAUGCAAUCCGUCCCUGUAAGGAACAAGGUCCCAAGUAUUAUUCUUGUGUAAAGCAUCUAUUUCAGUAACCAUGGCUUGACGCCAACCACCAUGUGCAAGUGCUGCCUUAACAGUCUUAGGCUCUCUAGGAAUAGAGUUCAACAAGGUAACAGACAACGCAUAGCGCGGAUUUGGUUUGACAAUUCCUAAUUGUGACCGUGUGACCAUAGUGUGUCUAGGAGCUGAGUUAACAAUAGUCAUACCUGCUGGGACUGCAACUGCAGUACCGUCGGAGGGAGCAGCAGCAGAACAUUGUAUAUCGACAGAAGCUGGUGCAGGAGAUUGGUGGCUGCCUAGUGCUACAUUUGAAACUUCGUCAAUAUGCUCAGUCUCCGUAGCACUUGAAUGGAAGUCUGGACUGGCAGGUACAGUAGGAGCAACGAUAGCUAAAGGAACAGCCUCUGCUGCCGUAACCGGGUCUGAGACAUCUGAGUCUAGUAGCAAUUGCGGUUCUGCUGCAGAUAAACCAGCAGUCGCUGCUGCCGUAACCGGUUCUGAGGCAACUGAUUCUAGCAGCAAACGUGGUUCUGCAGUCGGUAAACCUGCAAUAUUUGGAGAUUCCUGCACAAAACUAGGAGAAACAUCUGAAGGAGCAUCAUUAUUAGGGGCAGAAAGAGUAUUAAAAGCACUAUCAACAUGUAACUCAUGAGUAGCGUCAGUCGUAUCACUAGAAGAAGGGAAAGGAGUAAUCUCAUUCAAAACAUUUUGUGGAGGAAGAUCAGAAGUGCCAGGUGAUUCUGCAAGACCCUGCACACAUGAAACUGUUAAAAUAGGACUAGACUCGUUGUCUGAAGUUGCCUCGUCUACACUAGAAGUGGAACUUGAAUUAACCCAAGGAUUCAUAACCUGUGACACAUAUAACGAAUCCGUAACAGAAGACUUAUAAGGAAAUAUUUGUUCAUCAAAACUUACAUGCUUGGAAAUAAUAAAUUUCCUUGUUGUCAGAUUAUAGCACUUAUACCCCUUGUGUCUAUCACUAUAGCCAACAUGAUUCUGCAAGACCCUGCACACAUGAAACUGUUAAAAUAGGACUAGACUCGUUGUCUGAAGUUGCCUCGUCUACACUAGAAGUGGAACUUGAAUUAACCCAAGGAUUCAUAACCUGUGACACAUAUAACGAAUCCGUAACAGAAGACUUAUAAGGAAAUAUUUGUUCAUCAAAACUUACAUGCUUGGAAAUAAUAAAUUUCCUUGUUGUCAGAUUAUAGCACUUAUACCCCUUGUGUCUAUCACUAUAGCCAACAAACACGCAAAGACAAGACUUUGGAUCAAAUUUGUGACGUUUAGUAUCCCAAAUAUAAGGAAAACAUUUAGACCCAAAUACACGCAAGGAACUAUAGUCAAAAUCAUACCCAUUCAACAUGUAAAACGGUGUGUUAUGUUGUAAAGAAUCAGAAGGUAAGCGAUUAAGUAAAAACAUAGCAAUUUGAAACGCUUCAACCCAUAAAAAUAAAGGUAAAUGACCAUGAAAUAUUAUAGUCAUACCUAACUCGCGUAUGACUCGAUGACGCCGUUCUACCAUGCCUGUUUGUUCAGGCGUAUAUGGACACGAAAUUUGAUGUUUUAUACCAUUAGCAAGAAAAUGAGAUGACAAAGCAGAAUUAACAAAUUCACCCCCUCCAUCUGAAUGAAAAACUUUAAUAUUUUUGUCAAAUUGUCUAAACACAAACUUCUCAAAAGCAAGAAAGGUAGCAAAGAAAUCAGACUUUUGUUUUAAUGGAAUGAUCCAACAAUAUUUGGUAAAAUCGUCAACAAAGCAUGCAUAAUAUCUAAAUUUUUCAAUCGACAAAACAGGGGCAGGACCCCACAGAUCACAAUGAAUUUUAUCAAAAGCACAUGAACUAGAAUGAACAGAACUGCUAAAAGGAAAUCUACUUAAUUUUCCUAACUGGCAACUAUCACAUAGAUUUUUUAUUUGAACAGAACCUCUAACAUCUAUUAACCUCUUAUUACUUAAAGUAGAAACUGCGGACGCUUGAGGAUGUCCUAAACGCUGGUGCCAAAUAACUGCUGUGCCCGCUUUAAAACGGUUGGAAAAAUAAGCUUUGGGAGCUGCAGACAAGGUAUAAAGAUUAUGCUUCUUUGGUCCUGUUAGUAGGAUUUGUCCCGUUUUUCGGUCCUUCACACAAACAGACUUAUUAGAAAACUCACAAUUAACAGGAAAAUCAUCAGUUAUUUGGCUAAUGGAAAGCAAAUUCUGUUUUAAAUCAGGUACAACUAAAACAUCAGAAACAGGCAAACAACGCUUUUGCUUAAUGCUAGUACUACCUAUACCAUUUAUAGACAAGGAAGACCCAUCACCAAUAGCAAUAGAAUCCAUACCAGAAUACUCUUUAAAAUUGUCUAAAAUAAAUUUGUUACCUGUCAUGUAAUGAGACGCACUUGAGUCGGCAAUCCAGUCAGCAUCUACUACUCCGUUGUCCAGAGUAAGUGCAGCAAGAGCUUGAGGUAGAUUUUCUUGAGGUGAUUUAGGAAUCCACCAGCAAAUUUUGGCGAUAUGCCUAGGUUUGCCACAGUAUUGGCAGACUUCAUCUUUGUAAAGUUCACGUUCUUCUGCAGUCAUACGUCGGUGCCCAGAGGGAGGUGUACGACGUUGAGUAGUUGAGUUUCCUCUUCCCUGACUCUGACCACGAGGUUGUUGAGCUUGGAAGCCUCGUCCUUGAGAAGUAAAAUUUGAGCGCCGACUGGAAUUGGAAUUUGGUUGUCUUUGUUGAUUUCCAUAGAAUGCAACGUGGGAUGAAAUUUGACCCAUAGAGGCAUCAGACUAACUCAUAAACCAAGUUCUUCGUUGCUCUAAACUAUUCAACUGAGAGAUCAGUUCUGUAAAAGUCGGUCUUAGAGGCUUAAGCAUGGUAGUAGUAAAAUCUUCGAACUGAGGCCCCAGACUUGUAAGAAGGCAGAAUACCUUUUCGUUGUCUGGAACUGUUUUUCCAAUCGCGGUAAGGUUAUCGCAGAUUUCUUUGAAAAGCCGCAGAUGUUCUGUUAUCGUUUUACUUUCAUCUUUGCGAAAGUAGGAUAGUUGUUGUCGUAGAUUAAACUCUCUCUCCUGGGAGUCUUGAGCAUAAGCAUCUUUCAGAGCUUCCCAAACAGUCUUUAUUAUUUCCAGACCGAUAACGAGCCCUAGAGAUUCUUCGCUUAGGGUUCCAUAAAUCCACCCACGAAGUAACUGAUCUGAUUUCUGCCACGCUUUGAAAUUAUCAGAAAGCUGAGGCUGAUAAUUUUCGGGAAUUGGUGAGGGAGCAGCCACAAAUUUUUGGUCUUCUGAAAAUUCUGCCGUCAGAUGAUCAGACAGAUCUUGGCUCUCAGCUAGGCUUAGCAACUGAGCCCUCCAUAAGAGGUAAUUCGUUUGUUUUAGCUUUAAGGUAACAAAAUUUGUAACAUUUAAGGAAGAGGAAGCCAUUUCGUGAGAAGAGAAAAAAACUUUUGGAGAAGAAGAAGGCGGAUACAAACCCGCUCUGAUACCAACAAGAGAAUAGGAAAAAUGGCGAAAAAGAUUUUAUAAAAAUGAAUUAAUUCAUGUAUUCCUCCAUGAUAAACAGAGGCAUAGUACUCUGUUUAAAUAGAUUACAAAAAUAACUAAAUAGCUAGAAGUACGGCACAAUAUAUUGUUAGACUACCAUAUCUAACAGAACGUAUAACUCGUAGAACUCUAAAUUACUGAAAAUCAGCAGAAUCAAUUACCAACCUUAUCUCUCCAGGCUCAAGUCCUGUAGUCAGCCUUAUUACUCCAAGGGGUGAACACAUCCUUAUCACUCCCUUGGUCAAUAG
Molecule: long non-coding RNA, 5465 nt
Filed under: Manihot esculenta (cassava)
Lineage: Eukaryota; Viridiplantae; Streptophyta; Magnoliopsida; Malpighiales; Euphorbiaceae
Description: long non-coding RNA (MESC_LNC011680)
Source: RNAcentral